CUGGUGUGUAGGUCCUGUCUGUUUUCUGAGGGUGUCAGUACUAGGGCUGGUGUGUAGGUCCUGUCUGUUUUCUGAGGGUGUCAGUACUAGGGCUGGUGUGUAGAUCCUGUCUGUUUUCUGAGGGUGUCAGUCCUAGAGCUGGUGUCCUGUCUGUUUUCUGAGGGUGUCAGUACUAGGGCUGGUGUGUAGGUCCUGUCUGUUUUCUGAGGGUGUCAGUACCAGGGCUGGUGUGUAGGUCCGAUCUGUUUUCUGAGGGUGUCAGUACUUGGGCUGGUGUGUAGAUCCUGUCUGUUUUCUGAGGGUGUCAGUACCAGGGCUGGUGUGUAGAUCCUGUCUGUUUUCUGAGGGUUUCAGUACCAGGGCUGGUGUGUAGGUCCUGUCUUUUUUCCUAGGGUGUCAGUACUUGGGCUUGUGUGCAGGUCCUGUCUGUUUUCUGAGGGUGUCAG
Oncorhynchus tshawytscha (Chinook salmon) is the source of this 446-nucleotide long non-coding RNA. The record is from Ensembl. Lineage: Eukaryota; Metazoa; Chordata; Actinopteri; Salmoniformes; Salmonidae.